This 1364-nucleotide small RNA is filed under the name Pan troglodytes (chimpanzee). RNAcentral's name for it is "retained intron". Lineage: Eukaryota; Metazoa; Chordata; Mammalia; Primates; Hominidae. The record is from RNAcentral.
CCACCGGUGCACCCAGUCCGCUCACCCAGCCCAGUCCGUCCGGUCCUCACCGCCUGCCGGCCGGCCCACCCCCCACCGCAGCCAUGGACGCCAUCAAGAAGAAGAUGCAGAUGCUGAAGCUGGACAAGGAGAACGCCAUCGACCGCGCCGAGCAGGCCGAAGCCGACAAGAAGCAAGCUGAGGACCGCUGCAAGCAGCUGGAGGAGGAGCAGCAGGCCCUCCAGAAGAAGCUGAAGGGGACAGAGGAUGAGGUGGAAAAGUAUUCUGAAUCCGUGAAGGAGGCCCAGGAGAAACUGGAGCAGGCCGAGAAGAAGGCCACUGAUGCUGAGGCAGAUGUGGCCUCCCUGAACCGCCGCAUUCAGCUGGUUGAGGAGGAGCUGGACCGGGCCCAGGAGCGCCUGGCUACAGCCCUGCAGAAGCUGGAGGAGGCCGAGAAGGCGGCUGAUGAGAGCGAGAGAGGAAUGAAGGUCAUCGAAAACCGGGCCAUGAAGGAUGAGGAGAAGAUGGAACUGCAGGAGAUGCAGCUGAAGGAGGCCAAGCACAUCGCUGAGGAUUCAGACCGCAAAUAUGAAGAGGUGGCCAGGAAGCUGGUGAUCCUGGAAGGAGAGCUGGAGCGCUCGGAGGAGAGGGCUGAGGUGGCCGAGAGUCGAGCCAGACAGCUGGAGGAGGAACUUCGAACCAUGGACCAGGCCCUCAAGUCCCUGAUGGCCUCAGAGGAGGAGGUAGUGACCCCUCUGAACCUUUCUGGGCAAUGGCGCCUUCUCUCAGCUCACCUUCCCUCCGUCUCAGCACCGCAGGCUGCUCUUUCUCAGCUGCUGGGGAUCAGGAAGGGCCUGGGGCUUCUGAGCCCUGCCUGCUGUCACUCUCACAACUUUGCUCUUCUCUUCUCUCCUCCACCCGUCCCCCGCUGUGCCAUCUCCACUGUCUGGCUUCGCUGUGCCCUCACACCCUGCCCCCCCCCGCCACACACCCCCUGCAGUAAAUGUGGGGACCUAGAGGAGGAGCUGAAAAUUGUUACCAACAACUUGAAAUCCCUGGAGGCCCAGGCGGACAAGGUAGAGGGGAGCAGAGGGGCAGUGAGGAUGGGGUCCCACAGGGGAGGGAGGUGAGGGGCCCAAGGCAGGGAGGGGCUGGGUGUUCAACGGAGGCAAGAUGACCAGGAGCCUACGGGGUACAAUGGAGAAAUGAAGGAUCUGUGGUAGCGCUGUACUGAUGGCGUGUGUGUGUCCCCAAAAGUAUUCCACCAAAGAAGAUAAAUAUGAAGAGGAGAUCAAACUGUUGGAGGAGAAGCUGAAGGAGGCUGAGACCCGAGCAGAGUUUGCCGAGAGGUCUGUGGCAAAGUUGGAGAAAACCAUCGAUGACCU